RNAcentral lists this non-coding RNA (571 nucleotides) under Pan troglodytes (chimpanzee). The record is from RNAcentral. Lineage: Eukaryota; Metazoa; Chordata; Mammalia; Primates; Hominidae.
AUGAUGAGGCAUUAAAGAAGAGGAGGAGUGUCUCAAGGGAGGUGAGCUGGAGGUGAUGCAAGGAUGUCUGAUCUGAAAGCAUGUUGUGGUCCGCUACACACAAGAGCAAAAGAAGAGCAGAAAGGAGCUCAGUGCCAAGACCAUAGCCACAGGAAGAAAACCAGCUCUUAGGGCUGCAGCUCUAAAGACAGGCCAGGUCAUUACAGGAACGUCUGCUCCCUUAGCCUUGCCAGACAGAAGAGGGUUAAGAAAGGAACUGCUGACCCUGAUAUGCAAACUGCCACGAGUGCUUCCUGCCUUUCUAUCAGCGUCAGAUGGCUAGCGAUGGAUGGCUGUGGAGAGAGGAUUCCAGACAGAUAUUUGAGCAGAACAAAGAGAGCCAACAGGAUGAAGGCAUUCCCUGGCUGGUUGGACAAGCAACUGAAGAACAGGAACAGAAGUGAAUGAAAAGAGAAGAUGCUGUGUUUGUGUUUUCUCUUGGUUAGAAUGCUGUGAGUCAGGACCUUAGCUGCUGGGUGUCCUGGGACUGCCUUCGAUGAAGAACCUGAGGCUCACCUUGCUUAAGUGACUU